GGUUAAGCGACUAAGCGUACACGGUGGAUGCCCUGGCAGUCAGAGGCGAUGAAGGACGUGCUAAUCUGCGAUAAGCGUCGGUAAGGUGAUAUGAACCGUUAUAACCGGCGAUUUCCGAAUGGGGAAACCCAGUGUGAUUCGUCACACUAUCAUUAACUGAAUCCAUAGGUUAAUGAGGCGAACCGGGGGAACUGAAACAUCUAAGUACCCCGAGGAAAAGAAAUCAACCGAGAUUCCCCCAGUAGCGGCGAGCGAACGGGGAGCAGCCCAGAGCCUGAAUCAGUGUGUGUGUUAGUGGAAGCGUCUGGAAAGGCGCGCGAUACAGGGUGACAGCCCCGUACACAAAAAUGCACAUGCUGUGAGCUCGAUGAGUAGGGCGGGACACGUGGUAUCCUGUCUGAAUAUGGGGGGACCAUCCUCCAAGGCUAAAUACUCCUGACUGACCGAUAGUGAACCAGUACCGUGAGGGAAAGGCGAAAAGAACCCCGGCGAGGGGAGUGAAAAAGAACCUGAAACCGUGUACGUACAAGCAGUGGGAGCACGCUUCGGCGUGUGACUGCGUACCUUUUGUAUAAUGGGUCAGCGACUUAUAUUCUGUAGCAAGGUUAACCGAAUAGGGGAGCCGAAGGGAAACCGAGUCUUAACUGGGCGUUAAGUUGCAGGGUAUAGACCCGAAACCCGGUGAUCUAGCCAUGGGCAGGUUGAAGGUUGGGUAACACUAACUGGAGGACCGAACCGACUAAUGUUGAAAAAUUAGCGGAUGACUUGUGGCUGGGGGUGAAAGGCCAAUCAAACCGGGAGAUAGCUGGUUCUCCCCGAAAGCUAUUUAGGUAGCGCCUCGUGAAUUCAUCUCCGGGGGUAGAGCACUGUUUCGGCAAGGGGGUCAUCCCGACUUACCAACCCGAUGCAAACUGCGAAUACCGGAGAAUGUUAUCACGGGAGACACACGGCGGGUGCUAACGUCCGUCGUGAAGAGGGAAACAACCCAGACCGCCAGCUAAGGUCCCAAAGUCAUGGUUAAGUGGGAAACGAUGUGGGAAGGCCCAGACAGCCAGGAUGUUGGCUUAGAAGCAGCCAUCAUUUAAAGAAAGCGUAAUAGCUCACUGGUCGAGUCGGCCUGCGCGGAAGAUGUAACGGGGCUAAACCAUGCACCGAAGCUGCGGCAGCGACGCUGAUGCGUUGUUGGGUAGGGGAGCGUUCUGUAAGCCUGCGAAGGUGUGCUGUGAGGCAUGCUGGAGGUAUCAGAAGUGCGAAUGCUGACAUAAGUAACGAUAAAGCGGGUGAAAAGCCCGCUCGCCGGAAGACCAAGGGUUCCUGUCCAACGUUAAUCGGGGCAGGGUGAGUCGACCCCUAAGGCGAGGCCGAAAGGCGUAGUCGAUGGGAAACAGGUUAAUAUUCCUGUACUUGGUGUUACUGCGAAGGGGGGACGGAGAAGGCUAUGUUGGCCGGGCGACGGUUGUCCCGGUUUAAGCGUGUAGGCUGGUUUUCCAGGCAAAUCCGGAAAAUCAAGGCUGAGGCGUGAUGACGAGGCACUACGGUGCUGAAGCAACAAAUGCCCUGCUUCCAGGAAAAGCCUCUAAGCAUCAGGUAACAUCAAAUCGUACCCCAAACCGACACAGGUGGUCAGGUAGAGAAUACCAAGGCGCUUGAGAGAACUCGGGUGAAGGAACUAGGCAAAAUGGUGCCGUAACUUCGGGAGAAGGCACGCUGAUAUGUAGGUGAGGUCCCUCGCGGAUGGAGCUGAAAUCAGUCGAAGAUACCAGCUGGCUGCAACUGUUUAUUAAAAACACAGCACUGUGCAAACACGAAAGUGGACGUAUACGGUGUGACGCCUGCCCGGUGCCGGAAGGUUAAUUGAUGGGGUUAGCGCAAGCGAAGCUCUUGAUCGAAGCCCCGGUAAACGGCGGCCGUAACUAUAACGGUCCUAAGGUAGCGAAAUUCCUUGUCGGGUAAGUUCCGACCUGCACGAAUGGCGUAAUGAUGGCCAGGCUGUCUCCACCCGAGACUCAGUGAAAUUGAACUCGCUGUGAAGAUGCAGUGUACCCGCGGCAAGACGGAAAGACCCCGUGAACCUUUACUAUAGCUUGACACUGAACAUUGAGCCUUGAUGUGUAGGAUAGGUGGGAGGCUUUGAAGUGUGGACGCCAGUCUGCAUGGAGCCGACCUUGAAAUACCACCCUUUAAUGUUUGAUGUUCUAACGUUGACCCGUAAUCCGGGUUGCGGACAGUGUCUGGUGGGUAGUUUGACUGGGGCGGUCUCCUCCUAAAGAGUAACGGAGGAGCACGAAGGUUGGCUAAUCCUGGUCGGACAUCAGGAGGUUAGUGCAAUGGCAUAAGCCAGCUUGACUGCGAGCGUGACGGCGCGAGCAGGUGCGAAAGCAGGUCAUAGUGAUCCGGUGGUUCUGAAUGGAAGGGCCAUCGCUCAACGGAUAAAAGGUACUCCGGGGAUAACAGGCUGAUACCGCCCAAGAGUUCAUAUCGACGGCGGUGUUUGGCACCUCGAUGUCGGCUCAUCACAUCCUGGGGCUGAAGUAGGUCCCAAGGGUAUGGCUGUUCGCCAUUUAAAGUGGUACGCGAGCUGGGUUUAGAACGUCGUGAGACAGUUCGGUCCCUAUCUGCCGUGGGCGCUGGAGAACUGAGGGGGGCUGCUCCUAGUACGAGAGGACCGGAGUGGACGCAUCACUGGUGUUCGGGUUGUCAUGCCAAUGGCACUGCCCGGUAGCUAAAUGCGGAAGAGAUAAGUGCUGAAAGCAUCUAAGCACGAAACUUGCCCCGAGAUGAGUUCUCCCUGACUCCUUGAGAGUCCUGAAGGAACGUUGAAGACGACGACGUUGAUAGGCCGGGUGUGUAAGCGCAGCGAUGCGUUGAGCUAACCGGUACUAAUGAACCGUGAGGCUUAACCUU
This 2904-nucleotide ribosomal RNA is filed under the name Escherichia coli. RNAcentral describes it as "23S ribosomal RNA". It matches the Rfam family "Bacterial large subunit ribosomal RNA". The record is from RNAcentral. Lineage: Bacteria; Pseudomonadati; Pseudomonadota; Gammaproteobacteria; Enterobacterales; Enterobacteriaceae.